GUGUGCGAGUGCUGGAUGAUGUGUGUGCGUGUGCUGGAUGAUGUGUGUGUGUGUGUGCUGGAUGAUGUGUGUGUGAGAGUGCUGGAUGAUGUGUGUGUGUGAGUGCUGGAUGAUGGGUGUGUGAGUGCUGGAUGAUGUGUGUGUGUGUGAUUGCUGGAUGAUGGGUGUGUGUGAGUGCUGGAUGAUGGGUGUGUGAGUGCUGGAUGAUGGGUGUGUGAGUGCUGGAUGAUGUGUGUGUGUGAGUGCUGGAUGAUGGGUGUGUGUGAGUGCUGGAUGAUG
Non-coding RNA from Pelobates cultripes (western spadefoot toad), 279 nucleotides. The record is from the annotation of a GenBank genome assembly. NCBI's taxonomy places the organism in Eukaryota, Metazoa, Chordata, Amphibia, Anura, Pelobatidae.